RNAcentral lists this ribosomal RNA (261 nucleotides) under uncultured Staphylococcus sp. RNAcentral describes it as "partial 16S ribosomal RNA". It matches the Rfam family "Bacterial small subunit ribosomal RNA", at positions 99 to 354 of the family's 1533-position model. The record is from RNAcentral. Lineage: Bacteria; Bacillati; Bacillota; Bacilli; Caryophanales; Staphylococcaceae.
CGGACGGGUGAGUAACACGUGGAUAACCUACCUAUAAGACUGGGAUAACUUCGGGAAACCGGAGCUAAUACCGGAUAAUAUAUUGAACCGCAUGGUUCAAUAGUGAAAGACGGUUUUGCUGUCACUUAUAGAUGGAUCCGCGCCGCAUUAGCUAGUUGGUAAGGUAACGGCUUACCAAGGCAACGAUGCGUAGCCGACCUGAGAGGGUGAUCGGCCACACUGGAACUGAGACACGGUCCAGACUCCUACGGGAGGCAGCAG